This is a non-coding RNA of Maylandia zebra (zebra mbuna), 994 nucleotides long. The record is from RefSeq and is a predicted model, not a curated record. Lineage: Eukaryota; Metazoa; Chordata; Actinopteri; Cichliformes; Cichlidae.
CUGCAUCCUCCUCUCCAUCUCCACAUCCUGCAUCUCCCUCAAUUUCUACGGUGUACACCUCGGAUGUCCCAAACAAAACAAAAGGACAAGGAAAGGAAAAAGAAGAAGUUAAAGUCAAGUGGAAACCCUGCUCAACAUGGUAUGUAGUAACAACUUUGUUGGACGGGAACAGACAUUCAUAUUGUUGAUAAAUAGUUAUCACCUCAAUUUGAAUUCAUGUAUUUGGACUAAAGUAAAUUGGGAGCUUUUAGCUAUCGAGCUCCUCUUCUGUGAGGAGCUUGAUAGCUGUCCACCUCCAAAGUCCAUUAUGAGUUUUGGAGGUGGACAUGGUCAACACUUUUAAGAGUAGGCAUAAGACUUUACUUCUUUAUAGAGCUUAUAGUUAGGGCUGGUUCAGCUCAGCCCUUAGUUAUGCUGUAAUAGGACCAGACUGCUGGGGGUUAGUGUCCCCCCCCCUCUCUGUCUGUCUCUUUCAGGGUUAUGCAGGCUCAGUAUUGGUUGAAGAUGCAGUCACGUCUCCUUUUACUGAAAACUCUCCCCCUCUCCCUCACCAUCUGUAAACAUACAUGUCUCAGUAAUGCAGUUCAUGCAUGUUACUAACUAGACUUCUUCCCUGGAGUUUCUGUGCUCUCUCAUCCAGCAGGUUCCGAUGGAUCGUGGCUGCUGCUGUGGUCCUGCUUGACAUCUACUACAUAUAUUAUUACUCUCUGACUUGAUUUAUAUUACAAUGAAGGUGUAUAAAGCAUGACAUGAAUAUAGAAGAUAUUUCAUCCUAAAAAAUUGUCAUAUGUCACAACCUAAAUUAUCCUAUUUUGUGUGUGCUUGUCGUUGUUUUUUGUUAUGUUUUUCUCCUGACAGUGGCAAAGUGUGGGAUGACACAUGGGAACCUGCGCAGUUUUACACACAGUAAACCAGGCACCACAGGUCGCAGAGAUCGCACAGUUCACAGUUUGUAGUUCAGCAUAAAAGUUCAAAAUAAAAUAUUUACUAUACA